RNAcentral lists this ribosomal RNA (254 nucleotides) under uncultured bacterium. RNAcentral's name for it is "partial 16S ribosomal RNA". It matches the Rfam family "Bacterial small subunit ribosomal RNA", at positions 524 to 776 of the family's 1533-position model. The record is from RNAcentral.
UACGUAGGGGGCGAGCGUUGUCCGGAUUUAUUGGGCGUAAAGAGCUCGUAGGCGGUUUGGUAAGUCGGGUGUGAAAUCUCCACGCUCAACGUGGAGGGGCCACUCGAUACUGCCAUGACUCGAGUCCGGUAGAGGAGUGUGGAAUUCCCGGUGUAGCGGUGAAAUGCGCAGAUAUCGGGAGGAACACCGAUGGCGAAGGCAGGUCUCUGGGCAUUAACUGACGCUGAGGAGCGAAAGCAUGGGGAGCGAACAGG